UACCCCGCUGAACCUUAGCAUAUCAUUAAGCGGAGGAAAAGAAACUAACAAGGAUUCCCCUAGUAACUGCGAGUGAAGCGGGAAAAGCUCAAAUUUAAAAUCUGGCGGUCUCUGGCCGUCCGAGUUGUAAUCUAGAGAAGUAAUGCCCGCGCUGGACCGUGUACAAGUCUCCUGGAAUGGAGCGUCAUAGAGGGUGAGAAUCCCGUCUCUGACACGGACUACCAGGGCGUUGUGGUAUGCUCUCAAAGAGUCGAGUUGUUUGGGAAUGCAGCUCAAAAUGGGUGGUAAAUUCCAUCUAAAGCUAAAUAUUGGCGAGAGACCGAUAGCGAACAAGUACCGUGAGGGAAAGAUGAAAAGAACUUUGGAAAGAGAGUUAAACAGUACGUGAAAUUGCUGAAAGGGAAACGCUUGAAGUCAGUCGCGUUGGCCAGGGAUCAGCCUCGCUCCUGCGUGGUGUACUUUCUGGUCGACGGGUCAGCAUCAAUUUUGACCGCCGGAAAAGGGCCUGGGGAAUGUGGCAGCCUCGGCUGUGUUAUAGCCCCUGGUCACAUACGGCGGUUGGGAUUGAGGAACUCAGCACGCCGCAAGGCCGGGUUUCGACCACGUUCGUGCUUAGGAUGCUGGCAUAAUGGCUUUAAGCGACCCGUCUUGAAACACGGACCAAGGAGUCUAACAUGCCUGCGAUG
Molecule: ribosomal RNA, 686 nt
Filed under: Coniolepiota spongodes
Lineage: Eukaryota; Fungi; Basidiomycota; Agaricomycetes; Agaricales; Agaricaceae
Description: eukaryotic LSU rRNA
Rfam family: Eukaryotic large subunit ribosomal RNA
Source: RNAcentral